ACCUGCGAGCUGAAACACACAUUCGUACUUCUCCCAGUCUUCAGUUGGAGGUUUCAGGUCAACACUCAUCUGGAAGGAUCCAUCGUUGUUGGGGAGGAUCUCUCCGUGGUCCACGUCCUCAUGAAGCUCCUCUCCAUCUUUCCUCCAGAACAUCGUGGCUCUGUCAGGGUAGAAACCUGUAGCGUGGCAGCUGACUGGAGAGGAGGGAGUCUUCUGGAGGAGAGACACUGAGGGAAGCUCUGGAGAGAGAGAGAGAGAGAGAGA
Molecule: long non-coding RNA, 264 nt
Organism: Micropterus salmoides (largemouth bass)
Lineage: Eukaryota; Metazoa; Chordata; Actinopteri; Centrarchiformes; Centrarchidae
Exons: 2
Source: RefSeq, a predicted model, not a curated record